ACACUAUUUUUGUUAUCACGACGCCAGUAAACUAUAAUUAUACAGCGGACGCUAUUUAUGACACUCACUUUGAGACGAGCUCAACGUGAGCCUUGUAACCGAACGAACCUCAUAGGCAUAGUGGAUAAAUAAUAGAAUUUUAAAGGUAUUAUAAAAAAAAAAAAAAUAUUACAUUUUACACAUAUUACUUUAAUUACUAAUUGAACACAAAUUGCAAUGCAAUAUGCAUUUAUUUUUCCCAAAA
Non-coding RNA from Cinara cedri, 244 nucleotides. NCBI's taxonomy places the organism in Eukaryota, Metazoa, Arthropoda, Insecta, Hemiptera, Aphididae. The record is from the annotation of a GenBank genome assembly.